GGCAUUCAUUACAGACACCCACAAGCAACACAUAACAACACACCCAAUUAGUGAGGUAGAAGAAUUCAGAACACUAGCACUUUUAUUAUUCAACAAAAAGGAUAUACUGAGGUGAGGCGCGUUUGCCAUUCGACACAGCACUACGAGGCUUCGAAACAAGAUUCUACCGCCGACUCACACAUUCUGCCGGCCUCUCGGUCCCCGGCGAGGCUGUGAGAAGGGAGGCAGUGUGUCUUCGCCUUCCUCUCUGCAUCCUUCAGAGCUGUCCCAGUAUAUACAUCCCAUCUAUUAUAUUAUUUAAAGGCACGGAAUCGAUCCACGGAACGCCCUCACUCAGGCCAGCCGGCUUCACAGCGUCCACACCUCACACCUCACCUGAUCGUCACGUUUGUCUGUCCUGCGAUCCUGUCUAUUGCAUUAUCCAGCGCUCUUUAAGCUAGUAAUCAUUCUGGGAUGGAGGAGGAGGACCACGGGAUAGAAGACGACUAUAAACAGAGAAGCAGAGACGCAGUAAAGUUCCCUUCCACUUCUUGUAAAGCUCUCCUGCUUCUCACCGCUCGCAUGCUGAGAAGCAGACAAGCUAUCACCAGUAGCGUCACAAGGCAGAGGAACAACCUGCAUGUGCAACGCACCAACACACUAUCUGGUGAUAAGCAUACGGACGUAAUUGGAGCCAGACUGUGGAAUGCUCUUCCGCCUUCCCUCACGCAGGAAACAAUAAUAACUUCUUUUAAGGCUACAUUUAAAGAAUUUCUUUUAACCGAAGAUGUUCUUAGUUAGCGGGUUUCCAAUGUUGAUGAUGCGGCGUUGUGCAGGUGUCAAGUAAGCGACCACUGGUGUGGAAACAAGGCACAAGUCCACGCUCAACUCCGUGAAAGGGACGAACACGCACUCCUUACACACCUUGCACUAUCUCGAACUUCCACCCAUCAUCUAACAAGUUUGCCGAGGACACGAGUGCAGGCUCCGAGUGGGAUGUCGACGGCACAGCUUGUCCAGGAAUUUCUCUCGUGUAUCUUAAAGGCUUUAGGCGUUUGUAUAGAAAGAAAAAGGCUAAGGAAAGAGGAGAGAGAGAAGCACUGAUGUGACGAACGUUAUAGAAAAGUAAGAGGAUGUGAGGGAUGUUGAGAGGAGCAUUGAUGUGAGGCAUGUUAGGAGAAAAGGCUUGAGGAUGUGUGAGGGAUGUUGAGAGAAGCAUUGAUGGGGAGGGAGGGGAGUGCUAAAUAGGAUAAACACGAGGAAAUGUUUAGAACGAGCUACGUAUGAGGAAGGAUAAAAAGGGAAGGAAGGUGUAAAAGGAGUGGAUGAUGAUAGAUAGGUAAGGAGCAGCUACGUAUGAAGUUGUAGUACCAGGAGGAGAGACGUAUAAAGUCUAAAAGGAGUUGUAGAUAGGUAAGAUAUGGGAUGGGCUAUAUAUAUAAUAGAUAUAUUUUGUAGAGGAAAAUAAUAAUAAUGUAACGAUGACACAGAUAAGGGGAGGGACAUAGGAGGCAGAGAAUAUAUAUAUAUAUAUAUGUAAGGAUGUU
This is a long non-coding RNA of Portunus trituberculatus (swimming crab), 1526 nucleotides long. RefSeq lists it as uncharacterized. The transcript has 6 exons. The record is from RefSeq and is a predicted model, not a curated record. Lineage: Eukaryota; Metazoa; Arthropoda; Malacostraca; Decapoda; Portunidae.